This 974-nucleotide long non-coding RNA is filed under the name Homo sapiens (human). Its description in RNAcentral is "HSALNT0237390". Lineage: Eukaryota; Metazoa; Chordata; Mammalia; Primates; Hominidae. The record is from RNAcentral.
GUUGACAUAGCAAUGACCUGGGUUGACAAUUUCUAAGCUCUACAAAUAUAAGGAGAUGACUGUGCUUUAUUAGCAGGACUUUUGCCCUCCUGCAGAAAGUCUGCAUGGUUUCAGUCCAGACUGAAUCUACUGAGCAACAGAAGAGACACAUUGCUCAGCAGGAAGACAGAUGUGUGCUUUUCAGCACAGAAGGAAACAGCAUGAAAACAAACAAGCGAGCAAGGAAACCAACAAAUAUAACAACAAAACCGAUUAUGUUGGGAACCUGAGGAAAACUUGAGGAGGAGGAGGACUUGAGAACGUUCUGGCACUGGAAAAUCUUCACUUGAAGGAACCAGAAGACAGGGAAAGAACUACUCCAGGAACAUUUAACAAUCUAGACUCAUCCAGUGUUAUAGUAGGAAGGAACUAGAAAUUCUGGUGUUUGGAAACAUUUUCUUGGUAGAUUUCUUCUUGCUUUGUAUUGUUCUUCAACAUGGUAUAGAAAGCCUGAUACUGAAACAGAAAACUGGGUACUUUUCUUGUUGGAGUGAGGGAGGCAGCAGGGGCUUGUGUCUGUAGAGUCCUCUUGGAUGACUCUCAGUGGUGAAUUCCACAGGACCAAAGGUUUGAAAGAAUGCAAAUUGGGCUCAUUUUCAGAUGAGAAUAAAAGGCCUCAAGGUUCUUAUUAGAAAGAAUCGUUGACCUAUUAAAUAAAAAACAAAUAAAUCCAAUUCAAUGAAUUAAGAUUUUCAAGAGACGUCAGAUGUGGCUCCUGUACUCAUGGACCUUUUCAUCUGUCAAGGAGGAAAGACGUGUAUAAAAACAUGCUUUGGGCCAGGUAUGGUGGCUCACGUCUGUAAUCCCAGCACUUUGGGAGGCCGAGGUGGGUGGAUCACCUGAGGUCAGGAGUUCGAGACCAGCAUGGCCAACAAGGUACUACUCUACUCUACUCUAUCUCUACUAAAAAUACAAAAAUUAGCUGGGCGUGGUGG